This 497-nucleotide ribosomal RNA is filed under the name uncultured bacterium. RNAcentral describes it as "partial 16S ribosomal RNA". It matches the Rfam family "Bacterial small subunit ribosomal RNA", at positions 28 to 507 of the family's 1533-position model. The record is from RNAcentral.
GAUGAACGCUGGCGGCGUGCCUAAUACAUGCAAGUCGAGCGAACAGAUGAGGAGCUUGCUCCUCUGACGUUAGCGGCGGACGGGUGAGUAACACGUGGAUAACCUACCUAUAAGACUGGGAUAACUUCGGGAAACCGGAGCUAAUACCGGAUAAUAUAUUGAACCGCAUGGUUCAAUAGUGAAAGACGGUUUUGCUGUCACUUAUAGAUGGAUCCGCGCCGCAUUAGCUAGUUGGUAAGGUAACGGCUUACCAAGGCAACGAUGCGUAGCCGACCUGAGAGGGUGAGCGGCGACACCGGAACUGAGACACGGUCCAGAGUCCUACGGGAGGCAGCAGUAGCGUAUCUUCCGCAAUCGGCGAAACGCUGACGCAGCCACGCCGCGUGAGUCAUGAAGGCCUUCGGAUCGUAAAACUCUGUUCCUAGGGAAGAACAAUUGUGUAAGUAACUAUGCACGUCUUGCCGGUACCUAAUAAGAAAGCCACGGCUAGCUACGUC